This 1088-nucleotide long non-coding RNA is filed under the name Calidris pygmaea (Spoon-billed sandpiper). RNAcentral's name for it is "lncRNA (ENSCPGG00000005359.1)". Lineage: Eukaryota; Metazoa; Chordata; Aves; Charadriiformes; Scolopacidae. The record is from RNAcentral.
CCCACCAGCUCCUCUAGCGUCCACCCGAAGCAGGCGUUGGGGGGCUUUGCAGUGCACCAGGAGGUGCUGCUGGAGGAGGCCAUGGGGCUCUACGACUGCUCCGGGGAGGUGGCAGGUGUCACCCAGGACAGUCCUGGCAGCAGCCCCAGCUCUGGGCACCCUGGUGGCACCUGCACAGCCCUUCCCCCCUGCCACUUCGACUCCGUUGAGCUGCCUGAGGAGCUGCUGAGCCCUGACUCCAGCCAGAAGGAGACCAAGGAGUCCCUGAGCUUCCUGGCAGAACUCCUCGAUGGGACGAAGUCCCAGGAGCCCUGGGGGGAUGUGGGGAUGGAGCCCUGGGGAGAGUCUCAGGAGCCCUGGGGAGACGGGGGGAUGGAGCUGCCACAUGAGACCCGGGAGUCCUGGUGGGAUGUAGGGACGGAGACAUCAUUGGAGUCCCCAGAGCCCUGGGGGGAAUUAGGGAGGGAGACAUCAUCAGGGUCCCCAGAGCCCUCAAGGGACACAGGGACAGAGACAUCAUCGGAGUCCCCAGAGCCCUGGGAGGACUUAGGGACGGAGACAUCAUCAGGAUCCCCAGAGCCCUGGGGUAACUUAGGGACAGAGACACCAUCAGGGUCCGCAGAGCCCUCAAGGGACACAGGGACGGAGACAUCCUUGGAGUCCCGGGAGCCCUGGGGGGACUUAGGGACAGAGACACCAUCAGGAUCCGCAGAGCCCUCAAGCGACAUAGGGACAGAGACAUCCUCAGAGUCCCGGGAGCCCUGGGGGGACUUGGGGAUGGGGACAUCAUCGGAGUCCCGGGAGACAUGGGGGGACACAGGGAGAGAGACAUCAUCAGGGUCCCCAGAGCCCUGGGGGGACAUGAGGAUUGAGCUGCCCCUGGCCCAGCCUGCCCUGGGGGAGAGGAGGGGGACGAAGCGGGGGACCAGCCCCCCAUCCACACCACCCAGCAAGCGCAGGGCUCUCGCAGGGGGGCCAGGGGUGAGUCUCACCGCAAGGAAGAGACGGAGAUGAUGGGGGGGCUGAGGGUUGUGUGUAUUUGAGGGAGGGGCUGUGUGUAUUCGGGGAGGGGGGCAUGGUAUUUAGGG